GUGCUAAGGUAGCAUAAUAAUUUGUCUUUUAAUUAAAGACUAGAACAAAAGAUUAAACAUUUUAAUUUAUUUAUUAACUAUUUAUUAAAAUUAUCUUAAAUGUAAAAAGACAUUUAUGGUAAAGAAAGACGAUAAGACCCUAUUGAACUUUACUUUAGUUUAACUGGGGCAGUUAAUUAAUUAAUAUUUUAAUAAUAAUACAAUUUAAUUAAUCUACUUUAAGUAAUAAUUAAGUUACCAUAGGGAUAACAGCGUUAUAUUUUUUAAAAGAUCUUAUUUAAAAAAAAGAUUACGACCUCGAUGUUGAAUUAAUUAUCUAUUAAAUGCAAUAAUUUAAAAAGUAAGUCUGUUCGACUUUUAAAUAAUUACAUGAUUUGAGUUCAAACCGGUGUAAGCCAGGUUGGUUUCUAUCUUCUAAAAAUUUUUUCAUAGUACGAAAGGACCAGAAAAAUUAAUUUUAUUAAAAAUUUGGCAGACAAAUGCAUUAGAAUUAGAAUCUAAUUAAAUAAUC
RNAcentral lists this ribosomal RNA (511 nucleotides) under Lyssomanes tenuis. Its description in RNAcentral is "partial 16S ribosomal RNA". The stretch from base 123 to 416 matches the Rfam family "Bacterial large subunit ribosomal RNA", at positions 2074 to 2646 of the family's 2925-position model. The record is from RNAcentral. Lineage: Eukaryota; Metazoa; Arthropoda; Arachnida; Araneae; Salticidae.